This 187-nucleotide ribosomal RNA is filed under the name uncultured bacterium. RNAcentral describes it as "partial 16S ribosomal RNA". It matches the Rfam family "Bacterial small subunit ribosomal RNA", at positions 1315 to 1500 of the family's 1533-position model. The record is from RNAcentral.
CCUUCAUGAAGCUGGAAUUGCUAGUAAUGGCAGGUCAGCAUACUGCCGUGAAUACGUUCCCGGGCCUUGUACGCACCGCCCGUCACACCAUGGGAGUUGGUAACGCCCGAAGUCAGUGACCCAACCUAUAAGGAGGGAGCUGCCGAAGGUGGGACCGAUAACUGGGGUGAAGUCGUAACAAGGUAUC